CUAGGAAGUGUUGUUGUCAGUCUGACAACAUCUGAGAUUUGCACUGGUUGUCAACAAAGUGUGUACAGAUCCUUCAUUAGGUCAUGAAUUCUGAAGAACGUCAUUGAAAUGGAAAGAUUCAGUAGUUGGGCAUGUGCACAAACAACAAAUGCUUUCAAAGGGCUGGUGUCAGCAAUCUAAGUUAGGACGGGUCUUGUGACCAGGAAGUCCUAACAGGCUACAACUGGUUGGGUGAACCUCUACAUCAGCAGCAGUUCUCGAGUCUCUGAUGCUCUCAGCAUAUCAGGACCAAAUAUGUCUUUCAAGAGAUGCUUAAGCUAAAGGUUAUGUGAUUCUUUGAGCCAAACAUUCAUUUUAGGAAGGAGGAGGCUGCAGCUCUGGAAAAUGCUGGGACUGGGAUUUUUAAAGGAGCCCAAGAGAGAAAGGUGCCAAAAUCCGUUAGACGCCUUUGAAUUUCCCAGCCUCAGUGCAUUGAAAAAUAUGAUAUUAUGUGGAAGGCACGUACUGGAUUGGGACAGUUACAUGGAAGAUAAAAUCCUGGCCCCAUUGACUUCAAUGAAACCAGGAUUUCAUCUAAGAUGCACAAAGUGGGCCUGUCAGCUGAGACACAUGCAUGUUUUGCAUGCAUGCCCAACUGCAUGUCUGCAGUGUGGACACAGGUACUUUGCCAGUGCAAUUUACAUACCAGGCUUUCUGGGUUCGAUCGAAAGCUCAAGGAAUUCUUUUAAUUGAUUUCAGUGGAUGUUGGAUCAGGUCCCUAAACCCCCACAUCUAGUCUUCCUUCUAAUGCAGAAUUUCUACAUUGGUUUAUUUUCUAGGGCUUUGUUUAGUCCAAUAUUAAAUUUCUCAAGGCAUAGGGCUUCUAGUACCCACUUAUUUGGGGAGGCUGUUCCCCAGUCCAAUAGAUUUCACUAUAGCAAUUUAUCCUCCAGAUAUUCAGCCAAAAUUUUUCUUUUCUUAAUUGCAUUCUGGUAUUUCCUCUGACCUCCAUACGUCAUUUUUUCUCUUUCCUUUGGUGUUUAAAAAGUAUUUUUCCCCAA
Long non-coding RNA from Chelonia mydas (Green sea turtle), 1040 nucleotides. RefSeq lists it as uncharacterized. The record is from RefSeq and is a predicted model, not a curated record. The transcript has 3 exons. NCBI's taxonomy places the organism in Eukaryota, Metazoa, Chordata, Testudines, Cheloniidae.